GUGGGGAAUAUUGGGCAAUGGGCGCAAGCCUGACCCAGCAACGCCGCGUGAAGGAAGAAGGCUUUCGGGUUGUAAACUUCUUUUACCAGGGACGAAACAAAUGACGGUACCUGGUGAAUAAGCCACGGCUAACUACGUGCCAGCAGCCGCGGUAAUACGUAGGUGGCGAGCGUUAUCCGGAUUUAUUGGGUGUAAAGGGCGUGUAGGCGGGACAGCAAGUCAGCUGUGAAAACCAGAGGCUCAACCUCUGGCCUGCAUUUGAAACUGUUCUUCAUGAGAGUCGGAGAGGUAAUCGGAAUUCCGUGUGUAGCGGUGAAUUGCGUAGAUAUACGGAGGAACACCAGUGGCGAAGGCGGAUUACGGGACGAUAACUGACGCUGAGGCACGAAAGCGUGGGGAGCAAACAGGAUUAGAAACCCCGGUAGUCC
Molecule: ribosomal RNA, 428 nt
Filed under: uncultured bacterium
Lineage: Bacteria
Description: partial 16S ribosomal RNA
Rfam family: Bacterial small subunit ribosomal RNA
Source: RNAcentral